CCACCUCUGGAGUAAGCAAGGCACAUGGCAGUAGCAGCCUACAACAACUGCAGAAAUCUUUCCAGCAGGACUGCAAACCUGCCCAACUGAAUUGAAAAUGUCAUUAUGAAAUGACUAUGGCAUAUGAACUCAAGAAAAGAAGAAAUAUGGAGAAGGGUUAAAACAAAGAUGACAGGAGACAGUGUAAAGAUCAGCUCCAAGUACAGCAGAGAUGCUGUUCCACUGUUUCCAGCUCUACCUACCACACCGUUUGGAAUCUUGUUUCCUGUUCAUGAAGUCACUGAGUGUCUCUCUAUCUGACUCAAUCCAUCUACAGUCUGCUAGGUGACAAGCAGAAAGAUCUGGAUAAACUAUUUAUACUGGGAUAGACAUGUUAUUGGUUCUCAGAGAGGGGAACAAGAAACAGUUGCUGUAUCCUUGGAAGAAGCCCCAACAGAGCAAAGAAUGAAGAGCUUCAAGAGAAAGUAUUAGCGCCCUCUGCAAAACAACACCUGGAAGAGGUACCACAUUACAGACACCAUCAUCAGAGUCACUCUCAAUACGCUGCCAAGGAUGUCAACUCCCAAUGUUCCCAAGAAGGUAACACUUGAGAUGCCAAAACAACACAGUAGUGAAAACAAAAGCAGGAGACAAGGAAGUCUAGAUGGACUUAGUGGGUAACAGGAAUUUUGGAGGUAAAUGUAUUUAUCCUGUACUCAACCCCAAGAGCACUUAAAGCCCAGUCUGAGGAUGAAGUCUUCUGUGCCUCUAUUGAAAAAGGUCCACAUCCAUAUCAGUGCUUGCACCAUAGCUUUGCAAUGGCUUGACCAGAAUCCAGCAUGAAUAAAUAAGAGUUUCCUGGAGGGGGGACUCAAGAUGGCGCUGUGAGAACAACCCAGGAUUGGAGCUCUUCUCGUUGAAUCCGCAAACGAGUUCUAGUGCUACCUAAGAGUCACACACUGAAGGCUGGGACAUCAUUGCCUUUGAAGGUCACCAUUGAAAUAUAUGUGUCCAAUUCAGAAACGGGCCGCCAAAAACUACACAUUCAAGACCAAGUGCUUCUCUUCCAGAAUCAUAGCACACCAGGAGUCAACACUGCAGGUAGUGCACAGCAAAGAGAAUGAGCUACAGGCAACCCCGUUAGACUCAAGAUUCAUAGCCCAUUUCCACACAUUCCCUUUGCAUCAUAGUUUGCUGCCUUAUACUUUUAAAGGUAAUUUUUCUUGAUAAGGAAUAUCUGUUACCUUCAUACUCCGUGGAAGUAAGCAAAGAAUUGUUGUGACCCUAGAGAAAAAUCAGAGUCACAGAAUUUUAGGUCUGGAAGGGAUCUUUUAAGUCAUAUAGAAUUAUCAUUUUAGAAGCAAGAAUACAGAGGUUCUGAGACAUUAAGGGAUAUGUCCAGGUUCAGCAAGUUACUAGUAGAAUCGAGACUUUUUAAAAAAUCAUUAUUCUCAGUGCAUUGCUCUUUCUACCACUUAAACAUACUUUAUCAAUAGCUGAUUGUUUCUGAAAUUUUAAAAUACUUCCUUUGCUAAGACUGAAAAAAAAAUCAUCUCUGUUUCCAAAGCUCAGAAGACUAAAUAUGCAGACUCAACCUCAUAUAUGUACCUCCUCCCUAUUUCUACAAUUAUCAA
Non-coding RNA from Callithrix jacchus (white-tufted-ear marmoset), 1613 nucleotides. NCBI's taxonomy places the organism in Eukaryota, Metazoa, Chordata, Mammalia, Primates, Cebidae. The record is from RefSeq and is a predicted model, not a curated record.